AAGAAUUGUGAUGUUGAAUGUUGAAGUUCUUGCACAACUCCUUCAUCAUUUUGUUAUUGAGAUUAUGUAAUACCCCAAAAUUUACCCUUCAUUUUUCCUGGAAGCAUACGUUUUACACCUCAUGCAUGCAUUCAUUUUUAGGUCAUUUAUCAUUAGAUACAUUGCAUUUCAUCAUGUCAAUCAGAAUUAGAUCCAAGGAAUUUAUUUUAAAAU
This 213-nucleotide long non-coding RNA is filed under the name Lathyrus oleraceus (garden pea). RNAcentral's name for it is "Pisum sativum (pea) long non-coding RNA (PSAT_LNC006179)". Lineage: Eukaryota; Viridiplantae; Streptophyta; Magnoliopsida; Fabales; Fabaceae. The record is from RNAcentral.